GACGAACGCUGGCGGCGCGCCUAACACAUGCAAGUCGAACGGGGAUACACGCAGACUAAGGCUUCGGCCAAAGUCCUGUGUAUUCUAGUGGCGGACGGGUGAGUAACACGUGAGUAACCUGCCUUAAAGAGGGGGAUAACGGUUGGAAACGACCGCUAAUACCGCAUAAAGUGCGAGGAUGGCAUCAUCCAUGCACCAAAGAUUUAUCGCUUUAAGAUGGACUCGCGCCCGAUUAGAUAGUUGGUGAGGUAACGGCUCACCAAGUCGACGAUCGGUAGCCGGACUGAGAGGUCGAACGGCCACAUUGGGACUGAGACACGGCCCAGACUCCUACGGGAGGCAGCAGUGGGGGAUAUUGCACAAUGGGGGAAACCCUGAUGCAGCGACGUCGCGUGAGGGAAGACGGUUUUCGGAUUGUAAACCUCUGUCUUCGGGGAUGAAACAAAUGACAGUACCCGAGGAGGAAGCCACGGCUAACUACGUGCCAGCAGCCGCGGUAAUACGUAGGUGGCAAGCGUUGUCCGGAAUUACUGGGUGUAAAGGGAGCGUAGGCGGGAGAUCAAGUCAAGUGUCAAAUCUAUCGGCUCAACCGGUAGUCGCGCUUGAAACUGGUUUUCUUGAGUGAAGUAGAGGCAGGCGGAAUUCCUAGUGUAGCGGUGAAAUGCGUAGAUAUUAGGAGGAACACCAGUGGCGAAGGCGGCCUGCUGGGCUUUUACUGACGCUGAUGCUCGAAAGCGUGGGUAGCAAACAGGAUUAGAUACCCUGGUAGUCCACGCCGUAAACGAUGAUUACUAGGUGUGGGGGGUCUGACCCCUUCCGUGCCGGAGUUAACACAAUAAGUAAUCCACCUGGGGAGUACGGUCGCAAGACUG
Molecule: ribosomal RNA, 872 nt
Filed under: uncultured bacterium
Lineage: Bacteria
Description: bacterial SSU rRNA
Rfam family: Bacterial small subunit ribosomal RNA
Source: RNAcentral